UCCGAGUUGUAAUUUGUAGAGGAUGUUUUGGGUACCGCCCCGGUUUAAAUUUCUUGGAACAGAAUGUCAAAGAGGGUGAGAAUCCCGUCUUGGACCGGCGGUAGGGCCUGUGUAAAACUCCUUCGACGAGUCGAGUUGUUUGGGAAUGCAGCUCAAAAUGGGUGGUAAAUUUCAUCUAAAGCUAAAUAUUGGCCAGAGACCGAUAGCGCACAAGUAGAGUGAUCGAAAGAUGAAAAGAACUUUGAAAAGAGAGUUAAACAGUAUGUGAAAUUGUUGAAAGGGAAGCGCUUGCAACCAGACUUGAGCGCGACGGUUCCCCUAGCCUUUUGGCUAGGCUACUCCGUCGUGUCCAGGCCAACAUCGGUUCUGAGGGUCGGUCAAAGGCCCCGGGAAUGUACCUACCUACGGGUAGACUUAUAGACCGGGGUGUCAUGCGGCCUCUCGGGACCGAGGAACGCGCUUCGGCUCGGAUGUUGGCGUAAUGGUUGUCAGCGACCCGUCUUGAAACACGGACCAAGGAGUCUAACAUCUAUGCGAGUGUUUGGGUGUCAAACCCGGAACGCGGAAUGAAAGUGAACGGAGGUAGGAAGCUUCGGCUGCACUAUCGACCGAUCCUGAAGUUUACGGAUGGAUUUGAGUAAGAGCAUAGCUGUUGGGACCCGAAAGAUGGUGAACUAUGCCUGAAUAGGGUGAAGCCAGAGGAAACUCUGGUGGAGGCUCGCAGCGGUUCUGACGUGCAAAUCGAUCGUCAAAUUUGGGUAUAGGG
RNAcentral lists this ribosomal RNA (766 nucleotides) under Phialophora verrucosa. Its description in RNAcentral is "eukaryotic LSU rRNA". It matches the Rfam family "Eukaryotic large subunit ribosomal RNA", at positions 137 to 922 of the family's 3401-position model. Lineage: Eukaryota; Fungi; Ascomycota; Eurotiomycetes; Chaetothyriales; Herpotrichiellaceae. The record is from RNAcentral.